Molecule: non-coding RNA, 254 nt
Filed under: Paenibacillus sp.
Lineage: Bacteria; Bacillati; Bacillota; Bacilli; Caryophanales; Paenibacillaceae
Description: T-box sequence
Rfam family: T-box leader
About the family: Uncharged tRNA acts as the effector for transcription antitermination of genes in the T-box leader family. T-boxes are found upstream of many aminoacyl-tRNA synthetase genes and some amino acid biosynthetic genes usually in Gram-positive bacteria.
Source: RNAcentral
UAUGGAGCGUUGAAGAGGAACAGUAAUUUCGUUUGUCAGGCCUAGAGAGCCGGUGAUUUAUGGUGGAAGCCGGACCUGCAGCGAAAUGAAGCUCGCCUUGGAGCUGUGCGAUUAACGAAAGCGAUGUUUACGAAACAUCGUUUACGCGAAAAUCACCGUUUGGCCCGCGAUAAGGGCGACAAGUGAGCGAUCGGCAAAGCAUGUCUUUCGCUAACUAGGGUGGUACCACGGGAGAACAACCUCUCGUCCCUAGC